Molecule: ribosomal RNA, 479 nt
Filed under: uncultured organism
Description: partial 16S ribosomal RNA
Rfam family: Bacterial small subunit ribosomal RNA
Source: RNAcentral
CGUACACUCCUACGGGAGGCAGCAGUGGGGAAUUUUGGACAAUGGGCGAAAGCCUGAUCCAGCCAUGCCGCGUGCAGGAUGAAGGCCUUCGGGUUGUAAACUGCUUUUGUACAGAACGAAACGGCCUUUUCUAAUAAAGAGGGCUAAUGACGGUACCGUAAGAAUAAGCACCGGCUAACUACGUGCCAGCAGCCGCGGUAAUACGUAGGGUGCAAGCGUUAAUCGGAAUUACUGGGCGUAAAGCGUGCGCAGGCGGUUAUGUAAGACAGUUGUGAAAUCCCCGGGCUCAACCUGGGAACUGCAUCUGUGACUGCAUAGCUAGAGUACGGUAGAGGGGGAUGGAAUUCCGCGUGUAGCAGUGAAAUGCGUAGAUAUGCGGAGGAACACCGAUGGCGAAGGCAAUCCCCUGGACCUGUACUGACGCUCAUGCACGAAAGCGUGGGGAGCAAACAGGAUUAGAAACCCCGGUAGUCCCAUGA